CUAUAAGCAUUUAUACAGUGAAACUGCGAAUGGCUCAUUAAAUCAGUUAUCGUUUAUCUGUUAGUUCCUUUACUACAUGGUAUAACUGUGGUAAUUCUAGAGCUAAUACAUGCUUAAAAUCUCGACCCUUUGGAAGAGAUGUAUUUAUUAGAUAAAAAAUCAAUGUCUUCGGACUCUUUGAUGAUUCAUAAUAACUUUUCGAAUCGCAUGGCCUUGUGCUGGCGAUGGGUCAUUCAAAUUUCUGCCCUAUCAACUUUCGAUGGCAGGAUAGUGGCCUACCAUGGUUUCAACGGGUAACGGGGAAUAAGGGUUCGAUUCCGGAGAGGGAGCCUGAGAAACGGCUACCACAUCCAAGGAAGGCAGCAGGCGCGCAAAUUACCCAAUCCUAAUUCAGGGAGGUAGUGACAAUAAAUAACGAUACAGGGCCCAUUCGGGUCUUGUAAUUGGAAUGAGUACAAUGUAAAUACCUUAACGAGGAACAAUUGGAGGGCAAGUCUGGUGCCAGCAGCCGCGGUAAUUCCAGCUCCAAUAGCGUAUAUUAAAGUUGUUGCAGUUAAAAAGCUCGUAGUUGAACUUUGGGCCCGGUUGGCCGGUCCGAUUUUUUCGUGUACUGGAUUUCCAACGGGGCCUUUCCUUCUGGCUAACCUUGAGUCCUUGUGGCUCUUGGCGAACCAGGACUUUUACUUUGAAAAAAUUAGAGUGUUCAAAGCAGGCGUAUUGCUCGAAUAUAUUAGCAUGGAAUAAUAGAAUAGGACGUUUGGUUCUAUUUUGUUGGUUUCUAGGACCAUCGUAAUGAUUAAUAGGGACGGUCGGGGGCAUCAGUAUUCAAUUGUCAGAGGUGAAAUUCUUGGAUUUAUUGAAGACUAACUACUGCGAAAGCAUUUGCCAAGGACGUUUUCAUUAAUCAAGAACGAAAGUUAGGGGAUCGAAGAUGAUCAGAUACCGUAGGUAGUCUUAACCAUAAACUAUGCCGACUAGGGAUCGAAAAGGUUUUUUUUAAUGACCCACUCGGCACCUUACGAGAAAUCAAAGUCUUGGGU
This 1040-nucleotide ribosomal RNA is filed under the name Saccharomyces cerevisiae (brewer's yeast). Its description in RNAcentral is "SSU rRNA". It matches the Rfam family "Eukaryotic small subunit ribosomal RNA", at positions 63 to 1112 of the family's 1831-position model. Lineage: Eukaryota; Fungi; Ascomycota; Saccharomycetes; Saccharomycetales; Saccharomycetaceae. The record is from RNAcentral.